Molecule: non-coding RNA, 222 nt
Organism: Pelobates cultripes (western spadefoot toad)
Lineage: Eukaryota; Metazoa; Chordata; Amphibia; Anura; Pelobatidae
Source: the annotation of a GenBank genome assembly
GCAUUUUCUAUGAUUUAAACACAUUAUUGCUCAUUUACAGCACUGUCUGAGAUUCAUGCAGCGGAUGUCAGAAAUGAUUUGCUUCACAGCUGAUUCCCAGGCAAUUUAUAUUUGUCUGCAGCGCUGAAUACUGUGUUCUGUAGCCCGUACAGUUGAUUUCAUUGAGGGUAAAAAGAAUUUGCGAUUUAUUCAUAUGAGCAGCUGUACAAUUUAUGGCUUUGG